This 309-nucleotide long non-coding RNA is filed under the name Carica papaya (papaya). RNAcentral's name for it is "long non-coding RNA (CPAP_LNC000982)". The record is from RNAcentral. Lineage: Eukaryota; Viridiplantae; Streptophyta; Magnoliopsida; Brassicales; Caricaceae.
ACUUUCGCAGCUAGGUUUUUUUCUUUAGUCAACCUGUAGAAAAUAUAAUGGUGAACACAAUGGUGGAAAAGUCGCACCAAACAGGAAACGAAAAAUAGGCUCAUUGGAGGCGAUUUUUCGUUUUUCCUGCGGCAGCACCGCCGGGAUUUACCCACAAUUUUUGGCUCAUCCAUCGUUCAUUUUGCUCCGAUUUGGCCAUAGGGAUGUUCAAAAUUAAAUUCCAAGAAAAUAAGAGAAUUUUUACCUUUUUUAGCGCUCGGAGGUGGCUGCGGUGCGUCAGUGGACGGUGGUCGGCUUCUUUCUCCAGUG